UGUGUCUCUUCGGUAGACGGUAUGACAGGUGCUGCAUGGCUGUCGUCAGCUCGUGCCGUGAGGUGUUGGGUUAAGUCCGCAACGAGCGCAACCCCUAUCUUUAGUUGCCAUCAGUUCGGCUGGGCACUCUAUGGAGACUGCCACCUAAAGUGGAGGAAGGUGGGGAUGACGUCAAGUCAGCAUGGCCCUUACGUCCGGGGCUACACACGUGCUACAAUGGCCGGUACAAAGGGUUGCGAAGCCGUGAGGUGGAGCGAAUCUCAAAAAGCCGGCCUCAGUUCGGAUUGGAGGCUGCAACUCGCCUCCAUAAAGUCGGAAUCGCUAGUAACCGCAGAUCAGCUACGUUGCGGUGAAUACGUUCCCGGGCCUU
RNAcentral lists this ribosomal RNA (370 nucleotides) under uncultured Geobacter sp. RNAcentral describes it as "bacterial SSU rRNA". It matches the Rfam family "Bacterial small subunit ribosomal RNA", at positions 1011 to 1382 of the family's 1533-position model. The record is from RNAcentral. Lineage: Bacteria; Pseudomonadati; Thermodesulfobacteriota; Desulfuromonadia; Geobacterales; Geobacteraceae.